UCAGAGCUCCCAGAAAUGGCUAUAUUGGUAGCAAAUUCUGCACUUUUUUGGCUGUUCUGGAAUGUCAUACUCUGAAA
This is a non-coding RNA of Ornithorhynchus anatinus (platypus), 77 nucleotides long. The record is from RefSeq and is marked provisional. Lineage: Eukaryota; Metazoa; Chordata; Mammalia; Monotremata; Ornithorhynchidae.